UCCAAUGUUGGCCUCAUCAUUGCAAAAUCAAAGAGAAAGAGUUAGUACAAGGUGCUACACCUAAAAUGAUGAGAAUGACUUAGUUAAAGAAUCAAUCAUACCAUGAGGAAGCACCGAGCUAAUGCCGAUGUCAUAAAGUAUCUGCUUGGUUACCAGUUCCUUCAACUCUAGUACUUAGAUAUUAAGCAAUUUAUUAUAAUCUUCUUCAUCCUUGGGAAGGAUCAACUUCUUCUUAUUCAGAGAAUACCGAGGAUCACCCC
This 260-nucleotide long non-coding RNA is filed under the name Elaeis guineensis (African oil palm). Its description in RNAcentral is "long non-coding RNA (EGUI_LNC002583)". The record is from RNAcentral. Lineage: Eukaryota; Viridiplantae; Streptophyta; Magnoliopsida; Arecales; Arecaceae.